AUAGUUCUCAUAGUUCUAACCAUUAAUUUCCAGCCCUGCUCUCAUCCAUAAUGCUUGCUUUUUGCUUCCAUCAGAUGCUUCGAGGACAAAUCAGACCUGAGGAUUCUGAACAGGCUCCAUGGAAAAGUCCCUGUUCCAGAGGCCUAGCUGUCACAAUCCUGAUUUCUAUACCUCUUCAGUCUAGAUGCUUGCAUCGCAGGGAGACAAGAACAGGUGGAGUGCCCACACUGCAGUCUCCAGACGCAGCAGAUUUCCUUGCUCAGCUGCUUCAUUUCACCUCAGGCAAACUCUGCUCUCCAGCCCAGCAUUUCUACUGCUCAGUCAGGCUGCCCUCCCCUUUGAAAAUUAUACAAGGUCUUGGACAGCCCAAUCCUUGUGCCUCAGCUUUAAGAGGUCCAGUCGGCACCCCCCGGCCUUCCACUGCCUUUUCAUUCUCAGGUGGCUCUCCCAGGUCCACAGAUAUAAACACACAGUGAUACCAGAAGGCAUACAGAGCAGACAUUGAGAGCCUACAGAUGCCAAAUUUGCUGGGUUUGAUCCAUUACCCAGUGACUUGAAUUGAGCACUUACAAGCCAGCUCCCUUAAACAAAACUUGGUUUCAG
Molecule: long non-coding RNA, 603 nt
Filed under: Vulpes vulpes (red fox)
Lineage: Eukaryota; Metazoa; Chordata; Mammalia; Carnivora; Canidae
Description: lncRNA (ENSVVUG00000008218.1)
Source: RNAcentral